RNAcentral lists this ribosomal RNA (252 nucleotides) under Salmonella enterica subsp. enterica serovar Heidelberg str. SARA37. RNAcentral's name for it is "partial 16S ribosomal RNA". It matches the Rfam family "Bacterial small subunit ribosomal RNA", at positions 977 to 1229 of the family's 1533-position model. The record is from RNAcentral. Lineage: Bacteria; Pseudomonadati; Pseudomonadota; Gammaproteobacteria; Enterobacterales; Enterobacteriaceae.
GGUCUUGACAUCCACGGAAGUUUUCAGAGAUGAGAAUGUGCCUUCGGGAACCGUGAGACAGGUGCUGCAUGGCUGUCGUCAGCUCGUGUUGUGAAAUGUUGGGUUAAGUCCCGCAACGAGCGCAACCCUUAUCCUUUGUUGCCAGCGGUUAGGCCGGGAACUCAAAGGAGACUGCCAGUGAUAAACUGGAGGAAGGUGGGGAUGACGUCAAGUCAUCAUGGCCCUUACGACCAGGGCUACACACGUGCUACA